GACGAACGCUGGCGGCGUGCUUAACACAUGCAAGUCGAACGGAAAGGCCCUGCUUUUGUGGGGUGCUCGAGUGGCGAACGGGUGAGUAACACGUGAGUAACCUGCCCUUGACUUUGGGAUAACUUCAGGAAACUGGGGCUAAUACCGGAUAGGAGCUCCUGCUGCAUGGUGGGGGUUGGAAAGUUUCGGCGGGUGGGGAUGGACUCGCGGCUUAUCAGCUUGUUGGUGGGGGAGUGGCUUACCAAGGCUUUGACGGGUAGCCGGCCUGAGAGGGUGACCGGCCACAUUGGGACUGAGAUACGGCCCAGACUCCUACGGGAGGCAGCAGUGGGGAAUAUUGCACAAUGGGCGGAAGCCUGAUGCAGCAACGCCGCGUGCGGGAUGACGGCCUUCGGGUUGUAAACCGCUUUCGCCUGUGACGAAGCGUGAGUGACGGUAAUGGGUAAAGAAGCACCGGCUAACUACGUG
This 468-nucleotide ribosomal RNA is filed under the name uncultured bacterium. RNAcentral describes it as "partial 16S ribosomal RNA". It matches the Rfam family "Bacterial small subunit ribosomal RNA", at positions 28 to 507 of the family's 1533-position model. The record is from RNAcentral.